GACGAACGCUGGCGGCGUGCUUAACACAUGCAAGUCGAACGGAAAGGCCUCUUUCGGGGGGUACUCGAGUGGCGAACGGGUGAGUAACACGUGAGUAACCUGCCCUUGACUUUGGGAUAACUUCAGGAAACUGGGGCUAAUACCGGAUAGGAGCUCCUGCUGCAUGGUGGGGGUUGGAAAGUUUCGGCGGUUGGGGAUGGACUCGCGGCUUAUCAGCUUGUUGGUGGGGUAGUGGCUUACCAAGGCUUUGACGGGUAGCCGGCCUGAGAGGGUGACCGGCCACAUUGGGACUGAGGGACGGCCCAGACUCCUACGGGAGGCAGCAGUGGGGAAGAUUGCACAAUGGGUGGAAGCCGGAUGCAGCAACGCCGUGUGCGGGAUGACGGCCUUCGGGUUGUAAACCGCUUUCGCUCAUGACGAAGCUUUGUGUGACGGUAGUGGGUAAAGAAGCACCGGCUAACUACGUG
This 467-nucleotide ribosomal RNA is filed under the name uncultured bacterium. RNAcentral describes it as "partial 16S ribosomal RNA". It matches the Rfam family "Bacterial small subunit ribosomal RNA", at positions 28 to 507 of the family's 1533-position model. The record is from RNAcentral.